This 444-nucleotide ribosomal RNA is filed under the name uncultured Leptolinea sp. RNAcentral's name for it is "bacterial SSU rRNA". It matches the Rfam family "Bacterial small subunit ribosomal RNA", at positions 923 to 1382 of the family's 1533-position model. The record is from RNAcentral. Lineage: Bacteria; Bacillati; Chloroflexota; Anaerolineae; Anaerolineales; Anaerolineaceae.
GCACAAGCAGCGGAGCGUGUGGUUAAUUCGAUGCUACACGAGAACUUACCAGGGUUUGACAUGCAAGUGGUAGGAAACCGAAAGGCGACCGACCCUUCGGGGAGCUUGCACAGGUGCUGCAUGGCUGUCGUCAGCUCGUGUCGUGAGAUGUUCGGUUAAGUCCGCUAACGAGCGCAACCCUCGCUGUGUGUUACAAGUGUCACACGGUACUGCCGGUCUUAAAGCCGGAGGAAGGUGGGGAUGACGUCAAGUCAGCAUGGCCUUUAUGUCCUGGGCUACACACACGCUACAAUGGCCAACACAAUAGGUUGCUAAGCCGCGAGGUGGAGCCAAUCCUCAAAGUUGGUCUCAGUUCAGAUUGCAGGCUGCAACCCGCCUGCAUGAAGAUGGAGUUGCUAGUAACCGCAGGUCAGCUAUACUGCGGUGAAUACGUUCCCGGGGCUU